RNAcentral lists this ribosomal RNA (465 nucleotides) under uncultured Gaiellaceae bacterium. RNAcentral describes it as "bacterial SSU rRNA". It matches the Rfam family "Bacterial small subunit ribosomal RNA", at positions 338 to 796 of the family's 1533-position model. The record is from RNAcentral. Lineage: Bacteria; Bacillati; Actinomycetota; Thermoleophilia; Gaiellales; Gaiellaceae.
CCUACGGGUGGCUGCAGUGGGGAAUCUUGCGCAAUGGGCGGAAGCCUGACGCAGCGACGCCGCGUGCGGGAAGAAGGCCUUAGGGUUGUAAACCGCUUUCAGGAGGGACGAAGCUACUCGGGUUAAUAGCCCAGAGGGUGACGGUACCUCCAGAAGAAGCCCCGGCUAACUACGUGCCAGCAGCCGCGGUAAUACGUAGGGGGCUAGCGUUGUCCGGAUUCAUUGGGCGUAAAGCGCGUGUAGGCGGCCAGGUAGGUCCGAUGUGAAAACUGGAGGCUCAACCACCAGCUGUCAUUGGAAACCAUCUGGCUAGAGUCCGGAAGAGGAGAGGGGAAUUCCUGGUGUAGCGGUGAAAUGCGCAGAUAUCAGGAAGAACACCUAUGGCGAAGGCAGCUCUCUGGGACGGUACUGACGCUGAGACGCGAAAGCGUGGGGAGCGAACAGGAUUAGAUACCCGUGUAGUCG